RNAcentral lists this transfer RNA (87 nucleotides) under Holophaga sp. RNAcentral's name for it is "tRNA-Leu". It matches the Rfam family "tRNA". Rfam says of the family: Transfer RNA (tRNA) molecules are approximately 80 nucleotides in length. Their secondary structure includes four short double-helical elements and three loops (D, anti-codon, and T loops). Further hydrogen bonds mediate the characteristic L-shaped molecular structure. tRNAs have two regions of fundamental functional importance: the anti-codon, which is responsible for specific mRNA codon recognition, and the 3' end, to which the tRNAs corresponding amino acid is attached (by aminoacyl-tRNA synthetases). tRNAs cope with the degeneracy of the genetic code in two manners: having more than one tRNA (with a specific anti-codon) for a particular amino acid; and 'wobble' base-pairing, i.e. permitting non-standard base-pairing at the 3rd anti-codon position. The record is from RNAcentral. Lineage: Bacteria; Pseudomonadati; Acidobacteriota; Holophagae; Holophagales; Holophagaceae.
GCGGAUAUGGCGGAAUUGGUAGACGCGCUAGCUUCAGGUGCUAGUGACUUCACGGUCGUGGGGGUUCGAGUCCCUUUAUCCGCACCA